AUACUUACCUGGCAGAGGAGACACUGUGAUUCCCAAGGCAGUUCUCCCAGGGAGAGGCUCACCCAUUGCAUUCCAGUUGUGCAGUGACCCCUGUGAUUGGGAAACUUGACUGCAUAAUUUAUGGUAGUGGGGGGAAAAAAGAAUAAAAAAAGAGUUCCUGACUCCUA
Molecule: small nuclear RNA, 167 nt
Filed under: Leptobrachium leishanense (Leishan spiny toad)
Lineage: Eukaryota; Metazoa; Chordata; Amphibia; Anura; Megophryidae
Description: U1 spliceosomal RNA (ENSLLEG00000003651.1)
Rfam family: U1 spliceosomal RNA
About the family: U1 is a small nuclear RNA (snRNA) component of the spliceosome (involved in pre-mRNA splicing). Its 5' end forms complementary base pairs with the 5' splice junction, thus defining the 5' donor site of an intron.
Source: Rfam by way of RNAcentral